GGAGAAAAAAAGCAGUUUCUUAUAUUUGGCUUAAAUUCUGGCUUUAAACUAGCUGAGUGAUUUAGAGCAUAUAACUUUGAAUUUCCUAGUUUCUUUAUCUGUAAAACAUAGUUCAUAUUGCAUUUGAUUGUUGCAUGGGUUAAAGGAGCUACAUGAGAAAGCUUGGAAUAUAGUCCUUAUGAUAUGUUCCUGGAGCUUCCCAGGUGGCACUUGAGGUAAAGAACUUUCUUGCCAAUGCAAUAGACAUAAAAGUUUCAGGGUUGAUCCCUGGGUGGGGAAAAUCCCCUGGAGAAGAGAACAGCUACUCACUCCACUAUUCUUGUGUGGAGAAUCCCAUGGACAGAGGAGCCUGGUGGGCUAUGGUCCACAGGGUCACAAAAGAGUUGGACACAACUGAAGUGACUUAGCACGGACACAUGCAGGAUAUGUUCCUACUCCUGCUACCAUUUUAGGUGAGGUCAAGUUGCAAAAAUUGCCCUCAUUCCAGGUUACUUUAGAAGGCCUUGGAAGAGAAAUUUCUCCAUUCCUCAGUUCUUGAGUUUUCCUCCCAGGCAGAUAUACCAACCAGUAGGUUAGGCAGAACUUCAUGGACUACAACCUUAUGGUUUAUUGCAGACCUUGGUGUGACCAGAAUCAGUAGGCAAAGCAAGUGCCGUGCUGCCCGUUGGAGCUCAGGUACCAAAGGACAGAGAAUACAGUGGGAGAACAAAGAAGUAUGUUGGACAGUGAGUUCUGUCAAUGGAUUACUGAAAGCAAUUUUGCAACAUAGGGAUCAAAGACUGCAAAUUGUUUCUGCUUUAUUAAUAUUUGGUGAAUUAAACACUGAGGGAAAUGAAUUGGAGAAUAUUAAAAAAGCCAUGAAUCUAAAUUUUGUAUUCUAAUUAGGUGGAAUUUAUCCUUUUGGCAAAGAAUACGACUUAUCUGCUGUUUGGACUGACU
RNAcentral lists this long non-coding RNA (939 nucleotides) under Capra hircus (goat). RNAcentral's name for it is "lncRNA (ENSCHIG00000005710.1)". The record is from RNAcentral. Lineage: Eukaryota; Metazoa; Chordata; Mammalia; Artiodactyla; Bovidae.